GUCAUGCAGCGUGAGAGCGAGUGGGUGUGUGCGCUGCUCUGCUGGUUAGAGUCAUUCUGGCAGGACCUGUGCUGCAGAUGGAUGUGUGUGCGUAGAAGACGGGACUGUGCCAUACCGCCGACAGGAUUGGUCACCACGUUGACGGAUCGGCGCCGGAUUGGCUCGGUCUGCUUGGAGGAGGACUUGAGGAUCAGAUCUGUCUUCUCUGUAACUUCAGGUACCGAUACUCAGACGCUGCCCGUCACCAACCCGUCGUCUCUGCACAUGUCCUGUUCACACUGCAAGAAGAACCUGAUUAAAGGCCAGAUGGCGUUCCAGAGGAAAGGUUCUCCUGCGUUCUUCUGCUCCACCAACUGCCUCACCACAUCGCUUCCCACCAUCAAAGGACCCACAACGAUCUGCCACAACUGCCAAAAGACAUCAUUCUGGCUCCGGAUGCUAAAAGAGCCAUGAAGGAUUUUUGCAGCCAGAACUGUCUGACCUCCUUCAACCAGAAGAGAAGCGCCUGCAACUACAGAAAGUCGAACAUCUCCAUAAAAACCCCGCAGCCAAUCGUACCACAAUCACUCUGCAGCAUGUGCACCAGAUACUGCAUCGAGAGUUUGAUGGCCUUCUGCUGGGUGACAGGGGUUACCAUGCCAACCCAGGCUGAUGACCUCAUACCCUGACCCUGAACCAGGCCCCCAACAGAACUUCAACCGGACUCACUGCAGGACCAGAGCCCGGGUGGAGAUGACCAUAGGCCUGCUGAAAGCCCGUUUCCAGAGCCUACGUCUCCUCAGGGUGACCCCUGAGAGGGCCUGUGAUAUUACUGUGGCAUGUGUUGUUCUUCAUAAUAUUACCACUAUUAGAGGAGAGCAACACCCUGCCCUACAAACUGAAGACCCAGAUGAUGAGCCCAUCCACCUGCAGCUAUCCAGGACAGCAGAGCAGUCAGAGACACCGUAUGCAAUAAUCACGUUAGAGUUUAAGUCUCCAUCAUCACCACCACAGCAAAUAAAGACAUGAUACACAUUUCA
Long non-coding RNA from Acanthochromis polyacanthus (spiny chromis), 1019 nucleotides. RefSeq lists it as uncharacterized. The record is from RefSeq and is a predicted model, not a curated record. NCBI's taxonomy places the organism in Eukaryota, Metazoa, Chordata, Actinopteri, Pomacentridae. The transcript has 5 exons.